UUAAGCGACUAAGCGUACACGGUGGAUGCCCUGGCAGUCAGAGGCGAUGAAGGACGUGCUAAUCUGCGAUAAGCGUCGGUGAGGUGAUAUGAACCGUUAUAACCGGCGAUUUCCGAAUGGGGAAACCCAGUGUGUUUCGACACACUAUCAUUAACUGAAUCCAUAGGUUAAUGAGGCGAACCGGGGGAACUGAAACAUCUAAGUACCCCGAGGAAAAGAAAUCAACCGAGAUUCCCCCAGUAGCGGCGAGCGAACGGGGAGGAGCCCAGAGCCUGAAUCAGUGUGUGUGUUAGUGGAAGCGUCUGGAAAGGCGUGCGAUACAGGGUGACAGCCUCGUACACAAAAAUGCACAUAUUGUGAGCUCGAUGAGUAGGGCGGGACACGUGGUAUCCUGUCUGAAUAUGGGGGGACCAUCCUCCAAGGCUAAAUACUCCUGACUGACCGAUAGUGAACCAGUACCGUGAGGGAAAGGCGAAAAGAACCCCGGCGAGGGGAGUGAAAAAGAACCUGAAACCGUGUACGUACAAGCAGUGGGAGCCUCUUAAUGGGGUGACUGCGUACCUUUUGUAUAAUGGGUCAGCGACUUAUAUUCUGUAGCAAGGUUAACCGAAUAGGGGAGCCGAAGGGAAACCGAGUCUUAACUGGGCGUUAAGUUGCAGGGUAUAGACCCGAAACCCGGUGAUCUAGCCAUGGGCAGGUUGAAGGUUGGGUAACACUAACUGGAGGACCGAACCGACUAAUGUUGAAAAAUUAGCGGAUGACUUGUGGCUGGGGGUGAAAGGCCAAUCAAACCGGGAGAUAGCUGGUUCUCCCCGAAAGCUAUUUAGGUAGCGCCUCGUGAAUUCAUCUCCGGGGGUAGAGCACUGUUUCGGCAAGGGGGUCAUCCCGACUUACCAACCCGAUGCAAACUGCGAAUACCGGAGAAUGUUAUCACGGGAGACACACGGCGGGUGCUAACGUCCGUCGUGAAGAGGGAAACAACCCAGACCGCCAGCUAAGGUCCCAAAGUCAUGGUUAAGUGGGAAACGAUGUGGGAAGGCCCAGACAGCCAGGAUGUUGGCUUAGAAGCAGCCAUCAUUUAAAGAAAGCGUAAUAGCUCACUGGUCGAGUCGGCCUGCGCGGAAGAUGUAACGGGGCUAAACCAUGCACCGAAGCUGCGGCAGCGACACUAUGUGUUGUUGGGUAGGGGAGCGUUCUGUAAGCCUGUGAAGGUGGCCUGUGAGGGUUGCUGGAGGUAUCAGAAGUGCGAAUGCUGACAUAAGUAACGAUAAAGCGGGUGAAAAGCCCGCUCGCCGGAAGACCAAGGGUUCCUGUCCAACGUUAAUCGGGGCAGGGUGAGUCGACCCCUAAGGCGAGGCCGAAAGGCGUAGUCGAUGGGAAACAGGUUAAUAUUCCUGUACUUGGUGUUACUGCGAAGGGGGGACGGAGAAGGCUAUGUUGGCCGGGCGACGGUUGUCCCGGUUUAAGCGUGUAGGCUGGUUUUCCAGGCAAAUCCGGAAAACCAAGGCUGAGGCGUGAUGACGAGGCACUACGGUGCUGAAGUGACAAAUGCCCUGCUUCCAGGAAAAGCCUCUAAGCAUCAGGUAACAUCAAAUCGUACCCAAAACCGACACAGGUGGUCAGGUAGAGAAUACCAAGGCGCUUGAGAGAACUCGGGUGAAGGAACUAGGCAAAAUGGUGCCGUAACUUCGGGAGAAGGCACGCUGAUAUGUAGGUGAAGCGACUUGCUCGUGGAGCUGAAAUCAGUCGAAGAUACCAGCUGGCUGCAACUGUUUAUUAAAAACACAGCACUGUGCAAACACGAAAGUGGACGUAUACGGUGUGACGCCUGCCCGGUGCCGGAAGGUUAAUUGAUGGGGUUAGCGGUAACGCGAAGCUCUUGAUCGAAGCCCCGGUAAACGGCGGCCGUAACUAUAACGGUCCUAAGGUAGCGAAAUUCCUUGUCGGGUAAGUUCCGACCUGCACGAAUGGCGUAAUGAUGGCCAGGCUGUCUCCACCCGAGACUCAGUGAAAUUGAACUCGCUGUGAAGAUGCAGUGUACCCGCGGCAAGACGGAAAGACCCCGUGAACCUUUACUAUAGCUUGACACUGAACAUUGAGCCUUGAUGUGUAGGAUAGGUGGGAGGCUUUGAAGUGUGGACGCCAGUCUGCAUGGAGCCGACCUUGAAAUACCACCCUUUAAUGUUUGAUGUUCUAACGUUGGCCCGUAAUCCGGGUUGCGGACAGUGUCUGGUGGGUAGUUUGACUGGGGCGGUCUCCUCCUAAAGAGUAACGGAGGAGCACGAAGGUUGGCUAAUCCUGGUCGGACAUCAGGAGGUUAGUGCAAUGGCAUAAGCCAGCUUGACUGCGAGCGUGACGGCGCGAGCAGGUGCGAAAGCAGGUCAUAGUGAUCCGGUGGUUCUGAAUGGAAGGGCCAUCGCUCAACGGAUAAAAGGUACUCCGGGGAUAACAGGCUGAUACCGCCCAAGAGUUCAUAUCGACGGCGGUGUUUGGCACCUCGAUGUCGGCUCAUCACAUCCUGGGGCUGAAGUAGGUCCCAAGGGUAUGGCUGUUCGCCAUUUAAAGUGGUACGCGAGCUGGGUUUAGAACGUCGUGAGACAGUUCGGUCCCUAUCUGCCGUGGGCGCUGGAGAACUGAGGGGGGCUGCUCCUAGUACGAGAGGACCGGAGUGGACGCAUCACUGGUGUUCGGGUUGUCAUGCCAAUGGCACUGCCCGGUAGCUAAAUGCGGAAGAGAUAAGUGCUGAAAGCAUCUAAGCACGAAACUUGCCCCGAGAUGAGUUCUCCCUGACUCCUUGAGGGUCCUGAAGGAACGUUGAAGACGACGACGUUGAUAGGCCGGGUGUGUAAGCGCAGCGAUGCGUUGAGCUAACCGGUACUAAUGAACCGUGAGGCUUAACCUU
Molecule: ribosomal RNA, 2902 nt
Filed under: Escherichia coli HVH 144 (4-4451937)
Lineage: Bacteria; Pseudomonadati; Pseudomonadota; Gammaproteobacteria; Enterobacterales; Enterobacteriaceae
Description: bacterial LSU rRNA
Rfam family: Bacterial large subunit ribosomal RNA
Source: RNAcentral